AACGAACGCUGGCGGCAGGCCUAACACAUGCAAGUCGAGCGGACCCUUCGGGGUUAGCGGCGGACGGGUGAGUAACGCGUGGGAACGUGCCCUUUGCUUCGGAAUAGCCCUGGGAAACUGGGAGUAAUACCGGAUACGCCCUUUUGGGGAAAGAUUUAUCGGCGAAGGAUCGGCCCGCGUUGGAUUAGGUAGUUGGUGGGGUAAUGGCCUACCAAGCCGACGAUCCAUAGCUGGUUCGAGAGGAUGAUCAGCCACACUGGGACUGAGACACGGCCCAGACUCCUACGGGAGGCAGCAGUGGGGAAUCUUAGACAAUGGGGGAAACCCUGAUCUAGCCAUGCCGCGUGAGCGAUGAAGGCCUUAGGGUUGUAAAGCUCUUUCACCGGGGAAGAUAAUGACGGUACCCGGAGAAGAAGCCCCGGCUAACUCCGUG
Molecule: ribosomal RNA, 433 nt
Filed under: uncultured bacterium
Lineage: Bacteria
Description: partial 16S ribosomal RNA
Rfam family: Bacterial small subunit ribosomal RNA
Source: RNAcentral